Long non-coding RNA from Aedes albopictus (Asian tiger mosquito), 7965 nucleotides. RefSeq lists it as uncharacterized. Lineage: Eukaryota; Metazoa; Arthropoda; Insecta; Diptera; Culicidae. The record is from RefSeq and is a predicted model, not a curated record. The transcript is spliced from 2 exons.
GAGAGUCGAUGAAGAGAACUCUCUCAUGUUACUUUCGCCCUUAUUUAAACUCAAUCUAGACAUAUCAGAUUGGGAUUCCAACGUGUCUAUUUCACAAUAGACGCAAUGAUUGAUGGGAUGGAGACUGUCUCGAAUAUACCUCCGCAUCGGAGACAGAGGGGCCCUGGAAUGUCUUGACUUGAAUCGAUUAGCCGGGUUGUGGGUGCCAGACGACGAAACAGUAUUUACCGAAAAUGAUCAUGUCAGGUUCGGUGUUUUGACAACCUGACGUCAAGGUUGACACAUGUUGUUAAUGUUGCGUCGCCUCUGCCUCUGAUGCUGGUUCAAAUCAUCCGUCACCUUGUUGUCACGGUUCGUUACGUUGUUGCCCGCGGGUUGCUUGGAUACGCGGAGAGAGAGAGAGAGAGCGACCUUCUUCGUUUAAACGGUUUGACAGGAAGACCCCUGCGUCUCUUGAAUCGUGUGUUUCCAUCAUGGCAAAGGCAAUUUGCUGCUCUCUUUUGCUGUACGAACACACAUGGUUCAUGUGACUUACAGAUAAAUCUAACUUCCUAAUUAGGUCGGGUUUUGUACUUUUACGGAGGGAGUUCUUUUAUGUUUGCUGGUUUUGUUUUCACUGCGGUUUCCGAUCUUUGACAACGCUGUCCCUUCGUGGUCGUAAACAUGGGAAGUGGAGGUUAUGACCCACAAUUUUUAUUUAUCUGAACUGAAGAUCAAUUGUUGCCUGUUGUUUAAGUUUUGGUUCGGUGUCUGGUAAUGGAAGGUUUGGAAUCGUUUUAACGGGAUGCUUAGAGCACGUUUUUCGAAGUGAUGACCAAUGGCUAUGUAGUAUUAAGAAAAUACCAGAUCACGCUAGCUUAAGAAGCUACCACUUUGACACAGAGCAAAUCCGAUGCUAGAGCAGAGCCAGAGCAAAGCCAAAGUAGAGCCAAAGCAGAGCCAGAGCAAAGCUAAAGCCAAAGCAGAGUCUUCAGAAUCUUCAGAAUCUAAGCAGAACCAGAGCAGAGGCAGAGCAGAGCCAGAGCAGAGCCAGAGCAGAGCCAGAGCAGAGCCAGAGCAGAGCCAGAGCAGAGCCAGAGCAGAGCCAGAGCAGAGCCAGAGCCAGAGCAGAGCCAGAGCAGAGCCAGAGCAGAGCAGAGCCAGAGCCGAGCAGAGCAGAGCCAGAGCAGAGCCAGAGCAGAGCCAGAGCAGAGCCAGAGCAGAGCCAGAGCAGAGCCAGAGCAGAGCCAGAGCAGAGCCAGAGCAGAGCCAGAGCAGAGCCAGAGCAGAGCCAGAGCAGAGCCAGAGCAGAGCCAGAGCAGAGCCAGAGCAGAGCCAGAGCAGAGCCAGAGCAGAGCCAGAGCAGAGCCAGAGCAGAGCCAGAGCAGAGCCAGAGCAGAGCCAGAGCAGAGCCAGAGCAGAGCCAGAGCAGAGCCAGAGCAGAGCCAGAGCAGAGCCAGAGCAGAGCCAGAGCAGAGCCAGAGCAGAGCCAGAGCAGAGCCAGAGCAGAGCCAGAGCAGAGCCAGAGCAGAGCCAGAGCAGAGCCAGAGCAGAGCCAGAGCAGAGCCAAAGCAGAGCCAGAGCAGAGCCAGAGCAGAGCCAGAGCAGAGCCAGAGCAGAGCCAGAGCAGAGACAGAGCAGAGCCAGAGCAGAGCCAGAGCAGAGCCAGAGCAGAGCCAGAGUAGAGCCAGAGCAGAGCCAGAGCAGAGCCAGAGCAGAGCCAGAGCAGAGCCAGAGCAGAGCCAGAGCAGAGCCAGAUCAGAGUCAGAGCAGAGCCAGACAGAGCAGAGCCAGAGCAUAGCAGCGCCAGAGCAAAAGCAAAACCAGAGUAGACAAAGCAAAAGCAGAGCAAGAGCAGCAUCAGAGGAAAACUAGAGCAGAGCCAGAGCAAAGCCAGAGUCAGAACAGACAAAACUAAAGCAGAGGAAGAGCAGUGACAGAGCUAUAUUAACUACAUAAUCAAGUUUGGUUGAGGAAGCUACCAUUUGCAAGAGGUAAAGCCAUUCUCAAACACAGAAAUUCCUCAAUAAACUAGAGAAGACGAUGAAUUUAAUGUUGACGUCUUGAGUGGCGUAGCGAAUGCGCGCAUGCCGCCUUAUGUCGCGCCUCCAACCACACGCUUCUAGUGCAGCAUUUUAUGGCCUACUUUGAUGGCGGCCAUAUAGUUUAUUUUUCUCUUAAAAUGCCCCCGAAGGAUGUACCUAAUUCAGACGCUUAAUUGACGAUAAUUAAUAUGCAAUUCAAACAAAGCCAGGCCCAUAUUGCGAGUUCAAGUAAACAUACGCACGGACGUUUGAUCCAGAAACGAUUCGAACGCAUCCAAAGGAAUUAUUCCAGCUUUCUGGAUUAAUCGAGGAUCUAUUUCAAACGAACUCGUUCAGCAGCGUGAGGCCCUUCAUAACCUCGGUAAUUCCCCAUUACCGUAGCUGGAACAAACAACGCAACGCUUUGGGUUCGCUACUGAAUCGCAUCGUUUGAAUGACCGCGCGACAACAUCAUCGUGAACAACAACGAUUUAAUCGGAAGCACCCAUUUGCAUGCAGCCCUCAAUUUCAUUGUGUCGUUCGCUCAUUCGUUGGUGGGUUGGCUUCAGUGGAAAACGAUUAUUAUAAGCGCGCAUCAUCAGUUCCUCCCCCUUCCUUUUUCUCCCCCUCCACCAAACAUCAAUGUUUUGUAUAAACGUCGUAUAGUCAUAGUCAGUGAUGGAAUUAUGCCUGGUUUACAUGGAGCAAGUGACUUGAUUCAAGUCAAUGGAAAAUGCCCAACUGAAUGCGAAUUGAACGUGUAAACACCACCGUUCAUCUCAGUUGAGCAACUGACUUGACUUUAACGAAAGUUGAACAUGUUCAACUUUUUUGUUCAAGUCAAACGAAAUCAUCUCACUUGCCCCGUCUGAACACGCGAUUCAUGUGAGUUGAAUUCAAGUCAUCUGUCAAAUGAGCUGAAUUCAAUUCAGUUUGCUUACGCAUCGCACGAGUUGAAGAAUGUAAACACUUGCUUCAAUUGAGAUACAUUCAAGAGCAUGCAAGUGGACAACCAAGUCAUUUGCUCAGUCUAAACACGUCAUUCUAUUGGAUUGAACAUGUUUGAGAAGUUUGCAACUCACAUGCUCGUUUCAAUUGAACAGUCUAAACCAGGCAUUACUCUCAUCAUGAAGCAAUUCGCGAGUGCAAAGCCAACACAAGGCUUACUCACGAUUCCGAGAGUAGUGUGUGAGUUUAUUCGCACCCGCCUGCUUCGUGAAUAAGAAGCAAAACAAAAACAGAAACACUCAUGAGUUUUUAUUCGUGAAGAACUAGUGGAAGUGCGGGAAGUGCAUUUAUUUGUGAUUAUAAUAGCAAAUCCAACAUAAACUAAUGCUUUAUGCUUCAUUGUUCCUGAAAAGCAGCAUUGCCAGUCGUUAAAAUGCGUUUUUUGUCAAAAAGCAUAAAACUCACGAAGCUUCGCGAAUCACAUGCGAUGGCUUGCCAGCAAUGAGAGUAUAUUACAGGUGGGGAAGAAGAUACUUCGUGUGCGUGAGAUCCGUGUCUGGUGCAAAACAUGUCACUACUACAAGCAAAGCGACCUUCCAUAAGAACGCGUGUCAAAUAGUGACGUCACUAUUUGUGUUUACAUUUUUCUUUGCUUACUAAUACAUAGCCAUCUCUUCUUCUUCCCCACCUGUAAUAUACUCUCAUUGGCUUGCCAGCUUCGUUUACUCACGAGUCACGAAUAAAGAAGUGCGAGUAUUCUCGAGCCCCUGUUGUUCACGAGUAUGUUUGUUUUGGUUUGUGUCUGCUCAGCUGCAAUAUUCAUCAUUUUCCAUCUCUGGUCAUAGCUGGUCAGCUACCGUCGUCGUUGUCGUCAUCACGAUCAUCGUCAGAAGCUGCAUCACUCUGUCUCGUCUCCGUCAUAUACAUAUGAUUGCAGAUGUUCUCAGCUUUGCUACCCUCUCCAGACUUCAGUGGGGGUGCUUGCUGCACUGACUGCCGCCGCCGGCGACGGGAUUCAGCCAAGUUUUUUGAUGGGAUGAAUAAUAAUAAUUGCAGUUUUAAGCUUUUAUGUGCAUUGAGGCUGGAUUGUUUAGAAGAGGUUUGUUUGAUGUUUUGGACAGCUGGCGGCAGCUAUCCCGGUAGGGGAAUAGCGGGUAACACCGUCAGGGUGGGUAAGCCCGUCACCCCAAUGAUUUUACCAGAAAACAGUUAUUUAGUAGCUUUUUGGCCACACGCCUUACCUUUCGAGACAAAUGGUACCAAAAUUUACCUGUCAAAUACGAAAAAAAUAAACAAAACAAACGCACGCGUCAUUGCACCAACGGCGCAUGUAAUAUUUCGUCGGUAGAAUUUAGCUUCUGGAUUACAAAAGAAGUGCAGAAAUUCACUUUCAUCAAUCAUGUAUUCUCAUCUGCACUAUACUUCAGUGCCAAGAUUCAUUGAAUGGUCAGUUUCAACAAUUAUUCAAAAGUUACGGUGUAAUUUGAGAAAAGUGGCCUUUUCGGGUAAGCCCGUCACUCAUCGGCGGGGGUAACACCGUCAUGCUUUUCGGAUAACCGGAUGUUUGUUGAACUGGCUAGGAAUUUCUAAUAGAUGCCACACAACUACAAACCGAUGACCAACCGGGGAAAUUUAUAUAGGGGUCGUCCAUAAAUGACGUAGCAUUUAAGGAGGGGCUGGGAGUUGAAAUUUAGGAUUAUGCUACGAGCCAUGUAUUACGUAUUGGAAAAUAGGAGGGAAGGGGGUGUCAAAAAUCGUCAAAGAAUGCUACGUCAUUUAUGGAAGACCCCAUAUGAGUUUUUCUAUGGCGUCUUUCAGUAAUUCCUACGGUUCCUAAUUUAUCCAACUAAAUCUACUAGGAUUUCUCCAUGAGUUCCUGCUUGGACUCUUCCUGUUUCUUCUGGACCUUCUAAGGGCAUGAUUUAUGGAUUUUUUUCAGAGAUCGCAAAUUCACUAGCGCCGCCUAGUGGCAGAAUUCCGAAACACGUGUCCCGUUUUAUGUAAGUCUAUGUCAUACUGAUCAACUUUGCCGAAGACACCAACUUUUUAAAUUAUUGAGAUUCUAAGAUAUGAGGUUUUGAAAAUUUACAUGCUCACUAGCGCCGCCCAGUGGAGGAAUUUUAAACUUCGUAACUCAUCAUCUGUGGCGUAUCCAAUAAUUUUUCCGAAGACACUAUUCCUAAUUAUCAGGGUCUUGAGCUGUCGCAUAUCGUAACGUUUGCUUAACAACCUAAUAUGGUUCCUGUAGUGCAAUUUAGCAUCAAUCUGUGGCCUCUGGUGGCCACGUUACCAACUAAUAAUAUGAACCAAAGCUCUAAAUGGUAGAUCUGUUCAAGCCCUUAAAGUAUUGCACUAUCUCUUAACACACCCGAGAUAAUUGGACAUACCCCCAAAAAGUCCAAAUCCCAUAAGCUUAGUCUUCUAUUAAGCGGAUUUCAAUUGCUAACCACCACCCCCCCUCCUGCACCCCUGACAACCCGCAUAGUAAAAUACAUUAUGCCAUACAUUCUAAACAAUUAAUUACCUGUAUCUGUUAAGAUGACAUUAUAUUCCAUGGCUAAUUUUGUGUUAAACAAUAUGGAGCAUGAGAAUGAUAACAAUAAAUAACAAUAAGAAUGAUCUAUGUCAAAUAACGACAGUAUACUAAAGCAUCCAUAAAUUGUUAAACGGUAUGGAAUGCGAACUUGCAUGAAAUGGUGACAAUGUAUCACCACCUUCUAUCAGAUGGUAAGUUUUUGUGUUUGCGCAACACACUAGCACCUACACAUCACACUAUGUAUGUAUCACAUUUUUUCAACAGUAUGGCAUACAGUUUGGCACAUUUGUGUUUGUAAGCAACAAAUAUUCACCGCGUUCGCUGCCAGCAGCGCUUGUAUUUUUUUUUUCAUUCCUCGGAAUUGCGGAUCUUUGUCAUUUUGCGGAUCUUUCCCGGCAAUCUAUUCCAGCGCCCAAGGCCGACAAGCUGGUCAACAAACUCCCCGCCGUGACUUCGAAGAGGAUGGAAUCGUAGAUGGAAACUUUCGCGAAAUCAAAGUUCGGAAUGAAUUUGAUAAACACCCGCUGGAGGAAUUCUGGAUCCGGCACAUUACAAGGUCAUGCAUUCCGGUUGCUCGCAUAGGUAGGACACCAGCGGGUUUUGUCUUCAUGAGUGGUUCAUCGGAUCUGAACGGGCUAGGCAGCACAAUCAGCCAGGGAAUGCAGAAGCAGUGCACGUCGGCAGAGCCUCCGGUAGAGCAGUCAAAAAGCAGAUGCAAGAAAUCCGUGGAAACUGGGUAAGAUGCUUAUGCUCUGGAAGAUCCCGCUCCUCUCGAUGUUUGCUGCAGCAUGGAAUAGAAGUUUACGUGGCCUAAGUGUUCUAUAAUGAUAAUUCAUUUUUUCAUGUGAUGUUGUAACAAAUAAAUUAAUACUAUAUAAAACGUAUUUGCUAGUUUCAUUUUUUUGUUUCUUUACAUAUAACAUUAUGUGGUAGAACCAUAUAUCAUACGCUAAAAAUACCAUGAAAGACCAUAAAUCAAUAAUAACACAAACAUGUUAGUUUUUCUUUCAAAUUUAUGGUUAAACUGUUCUCUAACCAUUUACUAUGCAGUGAAUUGUCCAAAAAGCGGAUAGUAUAUUGACCAUAUUCUUUACUGUAUUGCGAAAAUUUUGUUCGGGAAAAUGAGCGAUUUUUUAUGGUAACCUAUCUUAACCGCCUAUUCCACAUACUGUAAAUUGGAAUGGUUAAAUGACCAUUGCUAAUGGUCAUCUACAGUAUGAGAAACUUUACAUUUACAGUUUGUGAUUAUGCGGGAAGUGAUUUUAUAAGAGUAUCGACUGUAGACCAUCACUGCACAUCAAAAAUGUCUUGAAAAUAUUUUAAAAUUAAGAUAUUCAAAAGUAUCUUUAUAAAAAUAUAUAUGACGGACUUACCCCAUAGGGGUGACGGUCUUACCCGCACUGAAUAAAUAACAUCAAUAUUUAAUAUGGUUGUGUUAUGUACAUUGUUCGCAAGAAUAAGCAUAAUUUGACAAUUCUAAUGCACAAGUCUUAUAAAAAACCAAUGAAUCAAAUAUUCUGCGUACUGAAAAUAUCAAUUUACGUCUUACAUUUAUGUUGAAAAAUCCGAAUGCUUAAGGUGACGGGGUUACCCCUUCCUCCCCUAAAUAUUUCAUGCUGUUGGUCGCAGGCCCCUGGCAUGAAUGGAUUUUAUCGUAGCCAACAUCUUACUGCUUUAUACUCAUAUUCGUGUAAAUUGAAAUGAGCGUGUAACCAACAAACGCUGCUUUGUUUAAUGUUGUGGGCCACACACAAAAUGCACCGCCACAUUGCGUGUUUGUUGGGUUGCUUUAUUCAACUAAUCGCGUGCUCCUCUUCCCGUACACGCAGAAAAAUAAAUUGUAAACACAAUUAAAUUCUAGUUCAAAUCAACCGAUUUUUCAGUUUACUAUAGCGACAAACUGAUUUCUAGUUUAAACUGAACUGUUCCAUUUGUUUGAUAAUACAAAUAUUUUCAUUUGUCGAAAUUUUUGACAGUUUGUUAAAACAAACAGAGAUAUGGUUUUUUAAACAUGAAAUUAUUGAUUGAUUCAAACGACUGCACUUUUGCCACUAACAAACCCGGAAUGUGAUUGUUUUGGUGACGGCAGCAACUGCGGCAGCUCGGAAAUCUAUUUUUAGAUCGUCGGUAAGCGGAUGGCGAGGAGAACGACUAGAAAAAGACAAAAAAGGCGAAACCGAUCAACUUUUUGUGGAUGCUGUCGUGAGUACCUGCGCGUUAUCCAUCACGGCCAAAGCUGCACUUGGAAGUUGGCGUGAUGGAUUUGCUGCACCUUCUUCGCUGUGGCGAUGUUGGGGUAAGCAUUUUAUAGAUGUGUGAGUGCUUUCGGACCAUGUUUAUGGUUUUUAUUUUGUUGAAACAAAUGAAAUUUUUGACAUUAUAUGAAAUGAUGGUAAUCGGUUGUUUUUAUCAAUAAACUCUGAAUGAAAACAAUUAAAUAUAACUUUGGAAUAAGUAAAUUCUCAGUUUGAAAAUCAA